Long non-coding RNA from Gallus gallus (chicken), 1641 nucleotides. The record is from Ensembl. Lineage: Eukaryota; Metazoa; Chordata; Aves; Galliformes; Phasianidae.
UUCUCCAGGUUGUAGAAGGCCAAAUCCCUCAGCCUGACCUCACAGGAGAGGUGCUCCCACUCUCUGGACAUCUUCAUGGCCUCUGGACCCAGGCAGCACUGGGCUCUGCUUCCUCCUUGUGCUGGGGGACCCAGUCCUGGAUUCAGUACCCCACACGGAGCCUCAUGAGGGCAGAGCAGCAGGGAACAGUCCCCUCUGUGCCCUGCUGCCACCUCCCUGUUAAUGCAGCCCAGGAUACAGCUGGCUGUCUCAUGCCCGUCUUGUCACCCACCAGCAGCCCACGUCCUUCUGCAGGGCUGCUCCCAAGGAAUACUUCUCUCAGUCUGCACAGGUAUCUGUAAUUGUCUCAACCCAAGUGCAUCUUUUACUUGUUGAACCUUACUAGGUUCUCAAGGGCCCACUUUGCAAGCCUGUCCAGGUCUCUCUGGAUGGUAUUCCUUCUUCUAUUGUAUUGGCUGCACCACCCAGCCUGGUAUUAUGAGCAAACUUGCCGAGGGUGCUCUCAAUCUCACUGUUGAUGUCAUUGAUAAAGAUGCUGAAGAAUACUUGUCCCACAACAGACCCCUGGAGGGCACCACUCACCACCAGCCUCAACUGGACAGAGAUCACAACACUCUGGAUGCAAACUUCCAACCAAUUCUGAAUAGCCCAGACUUCAAAUCCAUCUCUCCAAUUCAGAGAUAUGGAUGUGGCGUGGGACCAUGUCAAAGGCCUUGCACAAGACCAGGUAGCUACCAGUUGCCCCUCCUUUGUACAGCAGUGCCAUCACUUCAUCAUAGAAGGCAACCAGACUGGUCAGGCACAAUCUACCCUUGGCGAAGUUGUGGUGGCUGUCUUGGAUCACCUCCUCAUCUUGCAUGUGUCAUGCAGGGGUAAACUGAACCAAAAGGCAACAUCAAAGAAGCUCGGUGGUUGAGAAACCUGGGAGUUUUGAGCAUUCCCUGGAGGAAGGUAGUGCAGAGGAAAAUGCUGUUGAUGUGCUGGUAUUGCUGGGUUUCCAAGCACUGGAUCAGACUGCCUCAUGUGGGUGGGCAGGUAGAAGGGCAGCGAGGCUUGGAGACGUUGUGAUUUUCCUUCAGGCCAGAGCUGGAAUUACGUGCAAGUGAACUGCAUCAUCUGUCAGUACCCCGAUCUCCUUGUGAAGCUGGAGUGAUGGUAGCAGUGGGGGGCCUGAGCUGCACCUUGCUCAGCCUGAGGCUGAGUGGCUUUGUCCUGCAUCCUCUCUUCUCCCCAAGCAAUGCUUGGUACGAGGCGGCCAGGCUCCUUUGGAAUCUCGGUGGCCCAGCUGUAAGUAAGUAGAAGGGCUGAUGAGCAAAGACGUAAGCAUUUUUCUCCCCUGAGGACAGAGAAGUGCCUUUCCUACUAUGAAUAACUUUAAAUCUUUAGUGUCAGGGUCUCAGCACAUGUAAAUUGCCAUUCCUCUCAUUUCCUGUGACUUGUGUCAGGUUGCACAAGCCAAAAUGCACAGCUGCUCUUUUUGGAUCAAAAAAAAAAUGUAUACCCUAUUUUGCAUUUACCCACUUUUUCUUUUCCCCACUAUAAGGUCAGCCUUCUUUCCUGGUAUUAUUUCCCAAACUGCCUACCAGGCACAUUCUCUAUCAAAACCACUAGAAGUCAGCCACAUUCUGCACACAAUAGUCC